This 636-nucleotide long non-coding RNA is filed under the name Medicago truncatula (barrel medic). Its description in RNAcentral is "lncRNA gene39060". The record is from RNAcentral. Lineage: Eukaryota; Viridiplantae; Streptophyta; Magnoliopsida; Fabales; Fabaceae.
GCUCCCUCAACUUUUGCUCCUUUAUUCAAAAAGGUCCCUGAUUGUUAACUUUAACAUUAAAUAUCUCAAGUGGAACACAAACAAUGUUUGCCCUAGCAGAGCGUUCUCUCUGAGCAAAAGAUUAUCAACUUUUUCGAAAUCUUACGUGAAAUAUAGAAGGAGAAUGAAGAAUUCAUCUACAUAGUCAUACAGUGUCUUUAUUUAUUAUAGUAGGUAAUUAUGAUUACACCAUGAUAUUAUUGUUUUCCAUUUCUUAUAUGAGUUCAUGAUGGCAAACAUAGUUGCAUAAUAUAAUAAUACAUAUGAUCUUUUCAUUGAAAUCAACUGGGAACAACAUCUGGAUCUAUAUCGUACUCAAUAGUGCAUUGACAAGAUAAAUUAAUGCACUUCAGAGUUAGAUCAGUUGGACACAUAUCUGGUGGACAUUCAGGGGUAAAUAGGCAUGGAGGAGCAUCUGGGAGGCCUAACAAGAACAAAAUAAAUGUUAAUAUAGGUGAUGGAAUAUUAUAUAUAAGUUAAAUUAUAAAUUUGAAAAUGAUAUGAAACAUUACUCACUUCCAUUGGUUGUGACCAGAAAUAGGGAAACAAAGAUGAGCAAAGCAUAAAAGAAACUUAGGAUUCGAGCCAUAAUUUUUU